Molecule: long non-coding RNA, 411 nt
Organism: Perca fluviatilis (European perch)
Lineage: Eukaryota; Metazoa; Chordata; Actinopteri; Perciformes; Percidae
Exons: 2
Source: RefSeq, a predicted model, not a curated record
GACGACAAAAAGGUGACAAAAAGACGACAAAAAGGUGACAAAAAGACGACAAAUAGGUGACAAAAUAGGCAACAAAUAGGCGACAAAAAGGUGACAAAUAGGUGAUAAUAAGACGACAAAUGGGUGACAAAAAGGUGACAAAUGGGCGACAAAAUGACGACAAGAAGACGACAAAAAGGUGACAAAUAGGUGACAAAAAGGCGACAAGAAGACGACAAGAAGACGACAUUAUUACAUCAUGCAGCAGGUUAUUACAUCGUGCGGCAGGUUAUUACAUCAUGCGGCAGGUUAUUACAUCGUGCGGCAGGUUAUUACAUCGUGCGGCAGGUUAUUACAUCGUGCGGCAGGUUAUUACAGAAUGAAGUGAUUGUAACAUUUUGACUGUUUAUUAUGUGUUAAAUAUUAACUCUG